RNAcentral lists this ribosomal RNA (405 nucleotides) under uncultured bacterium. RNAcentral describes it as "bacterial SSU rRNA". It matches the Rfam family "Bacterial small subunit ribosomal RNA", at positions 355 to 776 of the family's 1533-position model. The record is from RNAcentral.
UAAGGAAUCUUCCACAAUGGGGGCAACCCUGAUGGAGCAAUACCGCGUGCAGGAUGAAGCGUUUCGGCGUGUAAACUGCUUUUAUCACCGAAGAUUAUGACUGUAGGUGAAGAAUAAGGACCGGCUAACUACGUGCCAGCAGCCGCGGUAAUACGUAGGGUCCAAGCGUUAUCCGGAGUUACUGGGCGUAAAGCGUCUGUAGGCGGCUUAAUAAGUCGGGUGCGAAAUCUUGCGGCUCAACCGCAUAGACUGUGCUCGAAACUAUUUAGCUAGAGGUAGGUAGAGGCAAGUGGAAUUUCUGGUGUAGGAGUGACAUCCGUAGAUAUCAGAAGGAACACCAAUGGCGAAGGCAGCUUGCUGGGCCUUACCUGACGCUCAGAGACGAAAGCGUGGGGAGCGAACGGG